This 260-nucleotide long non-coding RNA is filed under the name Elaeis guineensis (African oil palm). RNAcentral's name for it is "long non-coding RNA (EGUI_LNC039519)". The record is from RNAcentral. Lineage: Eukaryota; Viridiplantae; Streptophyta; Magnoliopsida; Arecales; Arecaceae.
UAUUAACACUCGUAUCUAUAUGCAAAAGAUAAAGAUCUUUAAUCAAGAAAGGACGUGCAACAACUUUAUUUCUAAAAUAAAUCGUAUACAUAUCUUUAUUGAAUUGAAAUUAUAAUUAUCCUGUGCCAGCAUAGAUACAAAAAUUAGAUUUCUACUAGCUAUAGGUACAAAGUAACAGUCUUUUAAAAUUAAACUAAUUCCUAAUGAUAGUUGCAAAGUGUAGGUCUCGAUAACCACAGCAGCAACUCUUGCUCCAUUAC